Centruroides sculpturatus (bark scorpion) is the source of this 407-nucleotide long non-coding RNA. RefSeq lists it as uncharacterized. Lineage: Eukaryota; Metazoa; Arthropoda; Arachnida; Scorpiones; Buthidae. The transcript is spliced from 4 exons. The record is from RefSeq and is a predicted model, not a curated record.
GUUGCAGAAGGUUUUGCAGAAAAGUCGAAUGGAAUUUAACCCUUGUAAAGAGUAAGAGUAAAGAAAAAAGAAAAAAUUUCGGAAGAAGGGAACUCAAAUUACAGUCAAGAAAUCAGUAGAAGAUGCAAACAUCAUUUCAGGACAUCAGAAGAUUUGCUGACUGCCAUCUCGAAUUGAAACAGAAAUUAAAGAUUUUGAAUUUUAUGAAAAGAUUCGGUAAAGAAUCCCUGUGCCUGUCUUGCAGAAAUUACUUUAAAAUUACAAAGAAGUUUCCAAUAAAGAUGGGAAGUUCUCUACAUUCGAUAUUUUCUGGUCUUUUAAAUAUAAAGAAUGCUUCGAAACAUAAAGCUUAAUAACUCAAAAGAAGACUUUUAUUUUGAAAGACGACUCUAAAUGACCUUUGUGUG